ACUAGACUUAUUCCAGAUUUGCAUUACCAAACUUUCAGUCCUCAUGUGCAUAAAUCAGCAAUCGCAAUUGCUGACUUUUCAAUCAUUUCAUGUUGUUUUUUUUUAAAGAUAAAGCUCAGAAAUUCUCCAAAUUGCAAAUAAAUUUAUAGCAAAUCAAAUAUAAUAAGUUGAACAAAUUCAUCAAAACCAAUUAACUUGUAGUCAAGUCAACCUUCAGUUUGCUAAUUAAGUGUGAAGUGAGAACACGCAGUUGUUCAAUUCGUUCAAAGCUUCAUCAUUUUCCCUUUACUAGUCUUGCACUAUAAAAUACCAUAUGUUAAUACUUUGUUCAUUCAUCAAAAAAUUAAUUUAAUUUCUAGCUUUCUUCUCAUCACACUAUCAUGAAGACCAUAAGUUCAACAUCUAUUUUCGCGAUUAUCCUUGUUUUCAUUGGGUUAAUCCUCUCUCCUGGAAUACAACAAGGUGUCGUUGCUCGUUCUAACGUGUAUAGAGGUAAUUAAUUAAUCAUACAUAUAUAUUUUUUUUCUUCUUCUUUUUGGGGAUUUUAAUAUAAAAAUUUGCGUAAUGUGGAUACAUAUAUGCAGAAGUACUUGUAAGGAGAUCAAUAUGUCCUGCUUGUGUGUGUUGCCAACCUCCACCACCAGGAUCUUGUUGCAGCUGCUGCGCUUCUCCUAUCAAUACUCAGUCCCACAAUGGUUCGCCUUAACCGACAUGCAGAGUCGGAUUCAGAAUUUAUAAUCCAGAAUAAAUUGUAAUUUUGAAAUUAGUAGUUCACACGUUGAAUAUGCUUUGGAUUAUUAUUUAUCGGAUGCAGUAACAUUCAUGCAAGAUAAUUAUAAACAUAAAUUAAAUACUUCCGUAUGUUUUUUCCCUUCUCAAAAUUUGCAAUGGCCUGGUCCUGGUAUUUGUCCAUUUUGUGUCUUCUUGUUCAUAAUCAAUAAGCUAGCUUGCAAUUGUAAAAUUAAUCCCCUUGGC
RNAcentral lists this long non-coding RNA (975 nucleotides) under Capsicum annuum. RNAcentral's name for it is "long non-coding RNA (CANN_LNC003903)". Lineage: Eukaryota; Viridiplantae; Streptophyta; Magnoliopsida; Solanales; Solanaceae. The record is from RNAcentral.